Molecule: ribosomal RNA, 273 nt
Filed under: uncultured bacterium
Lineage: Bacteria
Description: partial 16S ribosomal RNA
Rfam family: Bacterial small subunit ribosomal RNA
Source: RNAcentral
UACGAAGGGGGCUAGCGUUGUUCGGAAUUACUGGGCGUAAAGCGCACGUAGGCGGAUAUUUAAGUCAGGGGUGAAAUCCCGCAGCUCAACUGCGGAACUGCCUUUGAUACUGGGUAUCUCGAGUAUGGAAGAGGUGAGUGGAAUUCCGAGUGUAGAGGUGAAAUUCGUAGAUAUUCGGAGGAACACCAGUGGCGAAGGCGGCUCACUGGUCCAUUACUGACGCUGAGGUGCGAAAGCGCCGGCGUCUAACCGCGUCAGAUGGCCAGGUAGUUC